Molecule: ribosomal RNA, 855 nt
Filed under: uncultured bacterium
Lineage: Bacteria
Description: bacterial SSU rRNA
Rfam family: Bacterial small subunit ribosomal RNA
Source: RNAcentral
UACGGCUACCUUGUUACGACGCCUCAGCUUCGCGGAUGGGAGGGAUGCUAGAGCUGAGCCCGCCAGGAUCAAACUCUCCGGAGAGUUUGAUCCUGGCUCAGGACGAACGCUGGCGGCAUGCCUAAUACAUGCAAGUCGAACGAACUUUCCCGAUGAUUGAAGCUUGCUUCAUGAAUCGGAUCUAAGUGAGUGGCGGACGGGUGAGUAACACGUGGGUAACCUGCCCAAAAGUGGGGGAUAACAUUUGGAAACAAGUGCUAAUACCGCAUAACAACUACUUUCACAUGAUCGUAGUUUAAAAGAUGGCUCUGCUAUCGCUUUUGGAUGGACCCGCGGCGUAUUAGCUAGUUGGUGAGGUAAAGGCUCACCAAGGCAAUGAUACGUAGCCGACCUGAGAGGGUAAUCGGCCACAUUGGGACUGAGACACGGCCCAAACUCCUACGGGAGGCAGCAGUAGGGAAUCUUCCACAAUGGACGAAAGUCUGAUGGAGCAACGCCGCGUGAGUGAAGAAGGGUUUCGGCUCGUAAAACUCUGUUGUUAAAGAAGAACAUAUCUGAGAGUAACUGUUCAGGUAUUGACGGUAUUUAACCAGAAAGCCACGGCUAACUACGUGCCAGCAGCCGCGGUAAUACGUAGGUGGCAAGCGUUGUCCGGAUUUAUUGGGCGUAAAGAGAAUGUAGGCGGUUUAUUAAGUUUGAAGUGAAAGCCCUCGGCUCAACCGAGGAAGUGCUUCGAAAACUGGUAAACUUGAGUGCAGAAGAGGAAAGUGGAACUCCAUGUGUAGCGGUGGAAUGCGUAGAUAUAUGGAAGAACACCAGUGGCGAAGGCGGCUUUCUGGUCUGUANCUGACGCUG